Molecule: long non-coding RNA, 1393 nt
Filed under: Homo sapiens (human)
Lineage: Eukaryota; Metazoa; Chordata; Mammalia; Primates; Hominidae
Description: HSALNT0380479
Source: RNAcentral
AGUAACCUUAACCCUCGGCCCUUGGUGGGAACUUCGGCUCUGUGGGAAUUAGUCUUUGGGGGACUGAUGGUCAUGCUGAAAUCUUAUUGCGUAGGAAAUUAAGUACAACAAAGAAGACCCGUCGUGAGAGGAGAGUGCGGAAGAAAUGCGAAGUCUACGGGAGGUGGCAGCUGCAGAAGCUUGGUGUUGGAUUUGGCGUUAGGAGACCGGGAGGAGCCCAGCUUCCGGUCCAGACGGUUAUCUUGUUGACUUGCACGACUGCAAACGCCCUGAGCUGCUUUUGCAGUCUGAAACAUCAGCGAUCCCAUCAAAAUAUUCUGUUUCUUGGGAUAUAAGAAACAUCCCAAGGCGGGCUGUAGAGCGAGAGAUUUGGACUCGAUUUAAAUACAGACAAAAUAGUAUGCAUUUACUAACACCACAUCUCACCCCCACGAAACUUGGUAAGGGCAGCAACAGAACUUUAUCUGCCAUAUGCACUCCUGUAUUCCUAUUACCAAAUAGUGCCAGGGACUAAGUGAAUAUUUGUCCAAUGAAUGAGUUUUAAGUAGGAAACGUUUGCAUAGAAUCAUUUUGUUUCUUUUGGAGUUCAAAUCUUCGGAUAUUUUACCCUUCCCAAUCCAAAGAAAAGUCUCUGAGUGAAGAGAUGGGAACAAAAUAUCAUCUUUGUAACAAGAAGAAAACCAACCAAAUGAAAAUGAAAUGAAUUCUCUCAAAAAGAAUUAAGUCAAGACAGGAAGAAGGCUCGCAAAGUAAUAUAAAAUAUAUCUUAUGGUUUAUGGAAAAUUCUUAAUAAAAUACCUUCUUUGCUCCAAGCUGCACUCUGGCUUUGCCUUUGAGUCAGGUGGCAUGUCUUUGCACGAUGACUGGUUCUAUUGAGUAGGCACUGCUUCAGCCCUACAGGAAGAACAAAACCUCUCUGGAACACAGCAGCAUUCCUGAUUCCCACUUGAGGAGGCCUAACAAAACGGCAUAUGCCUCAACAGCAGCAGAUCAGUGUUAAAAAGUCUGGAGUCAAGGGGAAAAAGUAAAAUUGGACCAUUUCCAAAAUCUCACAAAAAGCAACAAACUGACGUUCUAAGUGCCCAACAUGAGCAAAUUAGAACCUUAAAUAAAGGUCACUCUUAAUGCCUAUCCCAGCAUAGAUGCAGCACCAAGUACAGUGUCAUUUUACUGGUUUACCUUUUUCAUUCUUGAAAGUAGGAGCUAUGAAAAAAAACACUAAAAUUUCUCUAAGAGAACCUUCUACUUUCUGUCUAACUUACAUAAUCAAAACACUGUAUUGAGGGUGAAAAUUGAAUAUUAUAAGAAAAUAAUCACGUGUUUUGCGAGAAGUUGCAAAUAUAAUGCUCCUCCACCCAAUACCUACCUUAAAAAGAAAAAAGGAAACAUACAA